RNAcentral lists this ribosomal RNA (408 nucleotides) under Fusobacteriota bacterium. RNAcentral describes it as "Fusobacteria bacterium partial 16S ribosomal RNA". It matches the Rfam family "Bacterial small subunit ribosomal RNA", at positions 355 to 776 of the family's 1533-position model. Lineage: Bacteria; Fusobacteriati; Fusobacteriota. The record is from RNAcentral.
UGGGGAAUAUUGCACAAUGGACGGAAGUCUGAUGCAGCAACGCCGCGUGCGGGAUGACGGCCUUCGGGUUGUAAACCGCUUUUUCUCAGGACGAAGUUUUUUGACGGUAGUGGGGGAAGAAGCACCGGCUAACUACGUGCCAGCAGCCGCGGUGAUACGUAGGGUGCGAGCGUUGUCCGGAAUUAUUGGGCGUAAAGAGCUUGUAGGCGGUUUGUCGCGUCGAUAGUGCAAACUCAGUGCUUAACGCUGAGCCUGCUGUUGAUACGGGCAGACUAGAGGAAGGUAGGGGAGAAUGGAAUUCCCGGUGGAGCGGUGGAAUGCGCAGAUAUCGGGAGGAACACCGGUGGCGAAGGCGGUUCUCUGGGCCUUUCCUGACGCUGAGAAGCGAAAGCGUGGGGAGCGAACAGG